Molecule: ribosomal RNA, 608 nt
Filed under: uncultured alpha proteobacterium NAC1-15
Lineage: Bacteria; Pseudomonadati; Pseudomonadota; Alphaproteobacteria; Candidatus Pelagibacterales
Description: bacterial SSU rRNA
Rfam family: Bacterial small subunit ribosomal RNA
Source: RNAcentral
CGCUGGCGGCACGCCUACACAUGCAAGUCGAACGAAGUAGCAAUACUUAGUGGCAGACGGGUGAGUAACAUGUGGGUAUCUACCCUUUGGCCUGGAAUAACACGAGGAAACUUGUGCUAAUACCGGAUAAGUCUUUACGGAGAAAGCUUUAUGCACCAUUGGAUGAGCCCGCACUUGAUUAGUUUGUUGGUAGGGUAAUGGCCUACCAAGACUAUGAUCAAUAGCUGAUUUGAGAGGAUGAUCAGCCACAUUGGGACUGAGACACGGCCCAAACUCCUACGGGAGGCAGCAGUGGGGAAUCUUGCACAAUGGAGGAAACUCUGAUGCAGCGAUGCCGCGUGAGUGAAGAAGGCCUUUGGGUUGUAAAGCUCUUUCGUCGGGGAAGAAAAUGACUGUACCCGAAUAAGAAGGUCCGGCUAACUUCGUGCCAGCAGCCGCGGUAAUACGAAGGGACCUAGCGUAGUUCGGAAUUACUGGGCUUAAAGAGUUCGUAGGUGGUUGAAAAAGUUGGUGGUGAAAUCCCAGAGCUUAACUCUUGGAACUGCCAUCAAAACUUUUCAGCUAGAGUAUGAUAGAGGAAAGCAGAAUUUCUAGUGUAGAGGGUGAAA